Molecule: long non-coding RNA, 337 nt
Filed under: Lathyrus oleraceus (garden pea)
Lineage: Eukaryota; Viridiplantae; Streptophyta; Magnoliopsida; Fabales; Fabaceae
Description: Pisum sativum (pea) long non-coding RNA (PSAT_LNC016197)
Source: RNAcentral
UUUUUAUGACUUAAAAUUAUUGUUAGCAUUUGAUUUUCGGGAUGAAGGUUGACCACUGUCUCAUGGUCAACCUGACCUUUUCUUGGAAUUUUAUUUCAUAUUUUCAAUUUAUUUUGGAUUUAUUUUUGACUUAGUUUGGUUGGUUGACUUUUAAUUUGACUUCUGUUUUAUUUUUAUUAAUUCACGUACCAAUUUUCAUUAUGUUUAAAAUCUUUUUGGGGGAUGAUGAUGUCCUGACCCCACCUUAUUUAGUUUAAUUUUUCAUAAUUUUCUUGAUUAAUUUACUAUUUAUUCUUGAUUUAUUUCUAACCUAGUCUUAUUAAUUAACUUUUGGUUU